Molecule: ribosomal RNA, 453 nt
Filed under: uncultured bacterium
Lineage: Bacteria
Also listed under: 1 other name
Description: partial 16S ribosomal RNA
Rfam family: Bacterial small subunit ribosomal RNA
Source: RNAcentral
ACGGGAGGCAGCAGUGAGGAAUAUUGGUCAAUGGGCGGAAGCCUGAACCAGCCAAGUCGCGUGAAGGAAGACGGUAUUAUGUAUUGUAAACUUCUUUAGGCGCAGAGAAAUAAGCUCCACGCGUGGAGUGAUGCUAGUAUGCGCAGAAUAAGGAUCGGCUAACUCCGUGCCAGCAGCCGCGGUAAUACGGAGGAUCCGAGCGUUAUCCGGAUUUAUUGGGUUUAAAGGGUGCGCAGGCGGUUUGUUAAGUCAGCGGUUAAAUAGUGGAGCUCAACUCCAUCCCGCCGUUGAUACUGGCAGACUUGAUUGCGGUCGAGGUUGGCGGAAUUCGCCGUGUAGCGGUGAAAUGCAUAGAUAUGGCGAAGAACUCCGAUUGCGUAGGCAGCUGACCAGGCCGUAAAUGACGCUCAUGCACGAAAGUGCGGGGAUCGAACAGGAUUAGAUACCCUGGUA